Molecule: ribosomal RNA, 460 nt
Filed under: uncultured bacterium
Lineage: Bacteria
Description: SSU rRNA
Rfam family: Bacterial small subunit ribosomal RNA
Source: RNAcentral
AGAAUCAACGCUGGCGGCGUGCCUAACACAUGCAAGUCGCACGAGAAAGGGACUUCGGUCUUGAGUAAAGUGGCGCACGGGUGAGUAACACGUGACUAAUCUACCCUCGAGUGGGGAAUAACUGAGAGAAAUCUUAGCUAAUACCGCAUAACACUUACGAGUCAAAGCAGCAAUGCGCUUGGGGAGGAGGUCGCGGCCGAUUAGCUAGUUGGCGGGGUAAUGGCCCACCAAGGCGAUGAUCGGUAUCCGGCCUGAGAGGGCGCACGGACACACUGGAACUGAAACACGGUCCAGACUCCUACGGGAGGCAGCAGUGGGGAAUUUUGCGCAAUGGGGGAAACCCUGACGCAGCAACGCCGCGUGGAGGAUGAAGUAUCUUGGUACGUAAACUCCUUUCGAUGGGGAAGAUAAUGACGGUACCCAUAGAAGAAGCCCCGGCUAACUUCGCGCCAGCAGCCGC